AGAGCUUGCUCUCGGGUGACGAGCGGCGGACGGGUGAGUAAUGUCUGGGAAACUGCCUGAUGGAGGGGGAUAACUACUGGAAACGGUAGCUAAUACCGCAUAACGUCGCAAGACCAAAGUGGGGGACCUUCGGGCCUCAUGCCAUCAGAUGUGCCCAGAUGGGAUUAGCUAGUAGGUGGGGUAAUGGCUCACCUAGGCGACGAUCCCUAGCUGGUCUGAGAGGAUGACCAGCCACACUGGAACUGAGACACGGUCCAGACUCCUACGGGAGGCAGCAGUGGGGAAUAUUGCACAAUGGGCGCAAGCCUGAUGCAGCCAUGCCGCGUGUAUGAAGAAGGCCUUCGGGUUGUAAAGUACUUUCAGCGAGGAGGAAGGCGUUAAGGUUAAUAACCUUGGCGAUUGACGUUACUCGCAGAAGAAGCACCGGCUAACUCCGUGCCAGCAGCCGCGGUAAUACGGAGGGUGCAAGCGUUAAUCGGAAUUACUGGGCGUAAAGCGCACGCAGGCGGUCUGUCAAGUCGGAUGUGAAAUCCCCGGGCUCAACCUGGGAACUGCAUUCGAAACUGGCAGGCUAGAGUCUUGUAGAGGGGGGUAGAAUUCCAGGUGUAGCGGUGAAAUGCGUAGAGAUCUGGAGGAAUACCGGUGGCGAAGGCGGCCCCCUGGACAAAGACUGACGCUCAGGUGCGAAAGCGUGGGGAGCAAACAGGAUUAGAUACCCUGGUAGUCCACGCCGUAAACGAUGUCGACUUGGAGGUUGUGCCCUUGAGGCGUGGCUUCCGGAGCUAACGCGUUAAGUCGACCGCCUGGGGAGUACGGCCGCAAGGUUAAAACUCAAAUGAAUUGACGGGGGCCCGCACAAGCGGUGGAGCAUGUGGUUUAAUUCGAUGCAACGCGAAGAACCUUACCUACUCUUGACAUCCAGAGAACUUAGCAGAGAUGCUUUGGUGCCUUCGGGAACUCUGAGACAGGUGCUGCAUGGCUGUCGUCAGCUCGUGUUGUGAAAUGUUGGGUUAAGUCCCGCAACGAGCGCAACCCUUAUCCUUUGUUGCCAGCGGUCCGGCCGGGAACUCAAAGGAGACUGCCAGUGAUAAACUGGAGGAAGGUGGGGAUGACGUCAAGUCAUCAUGGCCCUUACGAGUAGGGCUACACACGUGCUACAAUGGCAUAUACAAAGAGAAGCGACCUCGCGAGAGCAAGCGGACCUCAUAAAGUAUGUCGUAGUCCGGAUUGGAGUCUGCAACUCGACUCCAUGAAGUCGGAAUCGCUAGUAAUCGUAGAUCAGAAUGCUACGGUGAAUACGUUCCCGGGCCUUGUACACACCGCCCGUCACACCAUGGGAGUGGGUUGCAAAAGAAGUAGGUAGCUUAACCUUCGGGAGGGCGCUUACCACUUUGUGAUUCAUGACUGGGGUGAAGUCGUAACAAGGUAACCGUAGGGGAACCUGCGGUUGGAUCACCU
Molecule: ribosomal RNA, 1458 nt
Filed under: Klebsiella aerogenes MGH 78
Lineage: Bacteria; Pseudomonadati; Pseudomonadota; Gammaproteobacteria; Enterobacterales; Enterobacteriaceae
Description: bacterial SSU rRNA
Rfam family: Bacterial small subunit ribosomal RNA
Source: RNAcentral